Molecule: transfer RNA, 65 nt
Filed under: Branchipolynoe segonzaci
Lineage: Eukaryota; Metazoa; Annelida; Polychaeta; Phyllodocida; Polynoidae
Description: Branchinotogluma segonzaci tRNA-Glu
Source: RNAcentral
ACAUAUCUAGUAUAAAUUAUUACAAAAUUUUUUCAUGAUUUAAAUCCUUAAUUAAGGGAAAUGUA